Molecule: ribosomal RNA, 204 nt
Filed under: uncultured bacterium
Lineage: Bacteria
Description: partial 16S ribosomal RNA
Rfam family: Bacterial small subunit ribosomal RNA
Source: RNAcentral
UGUAGGCUGAAACUCGCCUACAUGAAGCUGGAGUUACUAGUAAUCGCAGAUCAGAAUGCUGCGGUGAAUGCGUUCCCGGGUCUUGUACACACCGCCCGUCACACCACGGAAGUUGGGGGCGCCCGAAGCCACUUAGCUAACCCAUUUGGGAAGCGAGUGUCGAAGGUGAAAUCAAUAACUGGGGUGAAGUCGUAACAAGGUAAC